This 265-nucleotide ribosomal RNA is filed under the name uncultured archaeon. RNAcentral's name for it is "partial 16S ribosomal RNA". It matches the Rfam family "Archaeal small subunit ribosomal RNA", at positions 717 to 982 of the family's 1478-position model. The record is from RNAcentral.
AGACGUCUACAUUAGAUACCCCGGUAGUCCCAGCCGUAAACUAUGCGCGUUAGGUGUAUCGGUGACCACGAGUUACCGAGGUGCCGAAGGGAAACCGUGAAACGUGCCGCCUGGGAAGUACGGUCGCAAGGCUGGAAACUUAAAGGAAUUGGCGGGGAGCACCACAACGGGUGGAGCCUGCGGUUUAAUUGGACUCAACGCCGGGAAGCUCACCGGAUAAGACAGCGGAAUGAUUGCCGGGCUGAAGACUCUGCAUGACUAGCUG